Molecule: long non-coding RNA, 461 nt
Organism: Lutra lutra (Eurasian river otter)
Lineage: Eukaryota; Metazoa; Chordata; Mammalia; Carnivora; Mustelidae
Exons: 3
Source: RefSeq, a predicted model, not a curated record
CUUAGCUCUAUGCUUCUGGGAUUCCAUGCAGUUGUAGUUGGAUAUGAGCUCAGACACCUGGGACCCGGAGCCACAGGGGAGCUGAGCAGUUACUUCCUGGGAGGAGCUACUUCCAAAUAUAUGUGGUAUCAGCAUCUCAGAAAGCAGCCCUUCCAUGGCACGAACGGAUUUUGUCUAUACACAUCAGAUGUCGCUGCACUGAUUACAGCAUGAAGAGACCCCCCUUUCCUACCUCUCCUUUCCCAGGAGAUACUUUUCUAACCACUGGACCAUGGCCUUUCCCAUCAGUUGAAACCUCAUAGAAUGGAGACCUCCACGCAGUAUGUUUUCUGCAAAGUGAAAACUCCACUGUCUGUUGCUUGCUUCUCAAGUCUCCUUCUUGGGUUUAUCCUUUUAUAGACAUCUGAUCAUGUGAUAGAAAGCUGGAAGAACAUAAGAGAAAGGGGUAGUCUGGCAGGACC